RNAcentral lists this ribosomal RNA (636 nucleotides) under Drosophila paulistorum. RNAcentral's name for it is "eukaryotic LSU rRNA". It matches the Rfam family "Eukaryotic large subunit ribosomal RNA", at positions 114 to 641 of the family's 3401-position model. Lineage: Eukaryota; Metazoa; Arthropoda; Insecta; Diptera; Drosophilidae. The record is from RNAcentral.
CUAAGUCACUUUGUCUUUAUGGCAAAUGUGAGAUGCAGUGUAUGGAGCAUCAAUAUUCUAGUAUGAGAAAUUAAUGAUUUAAGUCCUUCUUAAAUGAGGCCAUUUACCCAUAGAGGGUGCCAGGCCCGUAUAACAUUAAUGAUUACUAGAUGGUGUUUCCAAAGAGUCGUGUUGCUUGAUAGUGCAGCACUAAGUGGGUGGUAAACUCCAUCUAAAACUAAAUAUAACCAUGAGACCGAUAGUAAACAAGUACCGUGAGGGAAAGUUGAAAAGAACUCUGAAUAGAGAGUUAAAUAGUACGUGAAACUGCUUAGAGGUUAAGCCCGAUGAACCUGAAUAUCCGUUAUGGAAAAUUCAUCAUUAAAAUUGUAAUAUUUAAAUAAUAUUAUAAUAAUAGUGUGCAUUUUUUCCAUAUAAGGACAUUGUAAUCUAUUAAUAUAAACCAAAUUUAUCAUAAAAUAUGACUUAUAGUUUAUUUAAAUUAUUUUGCUUGCAAUUUAACAUAAAAUAAAUGUCAUUAAUUUGAUAAAGUGUUGAUAGAUUUAUAUGAAUACAGUGCGUUAAUUUUUUUAAAAUUAUAUAAUAGCAUGAUUAUCAUUGAUUUUCUAUGUUUAUUAUAUGCACUUGUAUGAUUAA